GAUGAACGCUGGCGGCGUGCUUAACACAUGCAAGUCGAACGGAAAGGCCCAAGCUUGCUUGGGUACUCGAGUGGCGAACGGGUGAGUAACACGUGGGUGAUCUGCCCUGCACUUCGGGAUAAGCCUGGGAAACUGGGUCUAAUACCGGAUAGGACGAUGGUUUGGAUGCCAUUGUGGAAAGUUUUUUCGGUGUGGGAUGAGCUCGCGGCGUAUCAGCUUGUUGGUGGGGUAAUGGCCUACCACGGCGUCGACGGGUAGCCGGCCUGAGAGGGUGUACGGCCACAUUGGGACUGAGAUACGGCCCAGACUCCUACGGGAGGCAGCAGUGGGGAAUAUUGCACAAUGGGCGAAAGCCUGAUGCAGCGACGCCGCGUGGGGGAUGACGGCCUUCGGGUUGUAAACUCCUUUCGCUAGGGACGAAGCGUUUUUGUGACGGUACCUGGAGAAGAAGCACCGGCUAACUACGUG
Molecule: ribosomal RNA, 468 nt
Filed under: uncultured bacterium
Lineage: Bacteria
Description: partial 16S ribosomal RNA
Rfam family: Bacterial small subunit ribosomal RNA
Source: RNAcentral